UCGUCUUAGAUUGUGCUGUGUCCUGCAUGAAUAAAGAGAUACUGCCUACAGCUCAACCCUAAGUCCCUGGUCGUCUGUUACCCGCCCGUGAAGCCAGCCCGGUGAAAACAACAUAGCCCGGCGAAAACAACAGAAAGAAGGAUCCUUUUUGCCAUGCUCCUGGGGGACAGUUGACAGCCAUGAUGAGGCCUCGUGUUCACAAAGAUUGUGUCGACCAAACUGCCUUCGUUAAGUAAUAAUUAAUUUGUUUCUCAAUUGUUUAAUUAAUCAAAGACACAAAUAACUGCCAGCCUGAGCUUUUCCUCUGUGUGGGGGAAAGAGUACCAGAAUGCUGACAGGAAGCACCUGCCACAUACCACAAACUAACCACAGGCUCCCCAUGCCAUCUACAAUCUUGCUGUCACAGCACCCUGUUGAGGAAGACACAGGUGGAGGCUGGAUGCUCGAACCCAGUUUCUUGAGCAUGGUUACAUGUGCACUAUACCAGGUGCAACACCAUCCAGCCCCAAGGGUGACGUUUUUGAGGUGAUGCCACAAUCAACUCUUAAAAAUCUACCUGUACAUAAUUCCAGCUUUGUUAAAGUCACUCACGAAACCAGAUGAAGCUGAUGAGAUGACAAGCUUUCUUUCCUUCCUUCUGACCACCGAUGGGACUGAUGAACAUGUACGCCAAUUUUCAUAAUGAAUUCCACUUCUCUCCUAAAAAUAAAACAACCUCUUAUUGUCAUGUGGAAAACUGAGAAAUGUUACGCAUGUACAAACUAUUGUAUUUACUGUCAACUGUAAAACAUCAA
Long non-coding RNA from Erinaceus europaeus (western European hedgehog), 794 nucleotides. RefSeq lists it as uncharacterized. Lineage: Eukaryota; Metazoa; Chordata; Mammalia; Eulipotyphla; Erinaceidae. The transcript is spliced from 3 exons. The record is from RefSeq and is a predicted model, not a curated record.